AUACGUAGGGUGCGAGCGUUGUCCGGAAUUACUGGGCGUAAAGAGCUCGUAGGUGGUUUGUCGCGUCGUCUGUGAAAUUCCGGGGCUUAACUCCGGGCGUGCAGGCGAUACGGGCAUAACUUGAGUACUGUAGGGGAGACUGGAAUUCCUGGUGUAGCGGUGGAAUGCGCAGAUAUCAGGAGGAACACCGGUGGCGAAGGCGGGUACCUGGGCAGUAACUGACGCUGAGGAGCGAAAGCAUGGGUAGCGAACAGGAUUAGAUACCCUGGUAGUCCAUGCCGUAAACGGUGGGCGCUAGGUGUAGGGGUCUUCCACGACUUCUGUGCCGUAGCUAACGCAUUAAGCGCCCCGCCUGGGGAGUACGGCCGCAAGGCUAAAACUCAAAUGAAUUGACGGGG
This 398-nucleotide ribosomal RNA is filed under the name uncultured bacterium. RNAcentral's name for it is "partial 16S ribosomal RNA". It matches the Rfam family "Bacterial small subunit ribosomal RNA", at positions 523 to 918 of the family's 1533-position model. The record is from RNAcentral.